UCCUAUCUCUGUCUCUCGCGCGCUGUGCUCACGCAGGCAGCUGAGCCUCUCUACCACCCAUGGCUUCUCGAGCCCUCGCCGCUCUGUCCAUCCAGCCGCGUCUCGGCGCAAGCUCGGCGCCGUAUUCGGGCCGACCUAUACGUGCCACGGUCAGGCCGGUCGGGCGUGGCCGCCGGCGCCGGUCCAUGGUGGUGCGGGCCGGCGGGCCACCGAGCACCAACGUGCUCAUCCUCGCCUUCCUGCUGCCGGCCUCGCUCUUCAUUGGCACCCUCGUGGUCGCCGCUCGCGUCGCCGACGACCUCGACGAGCGGUUCCUGCGGGAGAUGGAGAUGAAUGAGGCGAUAUUGGAAGAGAACGAGGCUUCCGAGGAAGCCGAAGACGAUGGAAGGGUGUACGCCGUCGAUGGAGAGGACGUUGUGCAGCCAGCGGUGGAGAAGGAGCAAGUUCUUGUUCCUGCCGCUGCAACGCGCACCAGGAACAGGCCGAAGAGGGAGGUGUAUUAGCUAGAGGUGGCUGCGUCUGAAGUCUGAACCUUAGCACCCCAAUUAAAUUAGCGCAUGAUUCGACCGGGAUUACUACGAAGUGUAAUCCAACUCCGACAAAAGAUCUUGGUCAGCAUCGGAUCGCGCACGUAGAUCCAUGGCAGCCUGCCAGACGAGAAAGCGCGAACGCGGCGAGGCUUUGGAGGCAGCUGACGGAGACGUCGUCGCCAACGGCGUUGUCAGCAAGACCUUCGCGACGACGAAUCGGAAGAGGACGACUGGGAGGAGGAUGGCGUGCUGCUGGAGGAAGGUCCCGAGGUGGUCGACCCGCCGGCGACGCACGGCGUCGAAGGUUGCGGCGAGCAGCUAGGUGGACGUGCGCUGGAUACGCCCAGGGACGAGGAUGAGUACGUGGACAUUGAAGGUUUGUCCGACUCGGAGGAGCACGACUACGAUGGUGAGGUCAUCGACUGAUUUCUCAGUUUUUUUUUUUUUAAACGGAGGCAAAAGCUUUGCUCCAUUCUAUUAAUUAAGAAGGAGUUUUACA
This is a non-coding RNA of Lolium perenne, 1029 nucleotides long. NCBI's taxonomy places the organism in Eukaryota, Viridiplantae, Streptophyta, Magnoliopsida, Poales, Poaceae. The record is from RefSeq and is a predicted model, not a curated record.